This 497-nucleotide ribosomal RNA is filed under the name uncultured bacterium. Its description in RNAcentral is "partial 16S ribosomal RNA". It matches the Rfam family "Bacterial small subunit ribosomal RNA", at positions 28 to 507 of the family's 1533-position model. The record is from RNAcentral.
GACGAACGCUGGCGGCGUGCCUAAUACAUGCCAGUUGAGCGCUGAAGGUUGGUACUUGUACCGACUGGAUGAGCAGCGAACGGGUGAGUAACGCGUGGGGAAUCUGCCUUUGAGCGGGGGACAACAUUUGGAAACGAAUGCUAAUACCGCAUAAAAACUUUAAACACAAGUUUUAAGUUUGAAAGAUGCAAUUGCAUCACUCAAAGAUGAUCCCGCGUUGUAUUAGCUAGUUGGUGAGGUAAAGGCUCACCAAGGCGAUGAUACAUAGCCGACCUGAGAGGGGGAUCGGCCACAUUGGGACUGAGACACGGCCCAAACUCCUACGGGAGGCAGCAGUAGGGAAUCUUCGGCAAUGGACGAAAGUCUGACCGAGCAACGCCGCGUGAGUGAAGAAGGUUUUCGGAUCGUAAAACUCUGUUGGUAGAGAAGAACGUUGGUGAGAGUGGAAAGCUCAUCAAGUGACGGUAACUACACAGAAAGGGACGGCUAACUACGUG